AAGCCCCCAGCAGACAGGGCAGGGUCUCUGUGAGUCAGGACUGUUUGUAGGUCUGGGGUCAGCAGGACCCUCACUGAUGUGUUGAGAUUGGUCAGUCGGGGGGCAGUUGGUGGUGGCGGGGAGUGAGCAAUGGUCAGCAGGGUCAGGCUACCAGGGACAAAGUGUGAGCCUGCCCAGGGUCCUGCAGGUGGACAGACACAUUCGAGGCUGCUCGCAGGACGACAGAGGAACCUCGGUGGAUAGGGACAGGCCCCAUCAAGGCUGCACGCCAUCGGCCAUGGCCGCCCUGCUUCGCCCACCCGCUCAGCUGCCACCUCCUCCAGCCAGGCUGGCACCCUCUCCAACACCUCUCCACCCAGCAGGACCAGGACACAGAUCCAGAUGUGCAACGGCCAAAGAGGGGCUGGGGCGCGGGCGAAGCCACAUGCAGCCCAGCGGCACCUGAGCUGAGAGUCUGCAGAGGUGACAGGAUGGAGGACACCUCCAUCAGGGCCUGGACAGCCAUGCCACGGAUGAGCCUUUCUCCAGUGAAAACACCCGGCUUGUCAACUCUAGGUGGCCCAAGACGGGCAGCUUCCCUCCCAGCCUACUGGGGCUCAGCAAGCAGUGUAGACACCAGGAGUGAUGGCCUUGACUUUCUGUUCCCAGGGGACCACAGUCACACACACACACACACACACACACACACAAAAUGAUACUUUUGUUAACCUGUUGGUUGCCUUUUCCAUUCUAUUUUUACAAAAGAUUUAUUUGACACAGAGGUUUUAAAUCGGCUGGUCCAUGCAACAAAUGGACCCAAUGGCCAGGGCUGGGUCCGGCCAAAGCCAGGAGCCAGACUCCAUCUGGAUCUCCAACAUGAGUGUCAGGGACCUGCCAGCCCGGGUCAUGUGCUGCUGCCUUUCAGGGGCAUUAGCAGGGAGCUGGAAGGACACGGAGGGGCCGGGACUCUAACCAGCACUCCUAUGGGAUGCUGGUAUCAGAGGCGGAGGCUUAACUGCUGCACCACAGGGCUGUCCACUGUCACUGGAGUUUUUAAAAGAAUCCUUAUCUGUGUGUAAAAUACAAUCUAAGAAAAAAAGUCCUUGUGCUCCUGGGACCACGUGACCCUCGAGUCAAAGCCUGAUCUGGAGGGGACCCUGCCCUCGGGGCUGAUUCUGUGCCCCCUCCCCUCCCCUGGCGCUCAGCGGUUCUGCAGCCAUCGGGUGGCCAGACCCACAGAGGGACUGUCAGAGACACCCAUCCAAGUGACUGGACCACAGGUGACUUUGCCUGGGACACUGGCAACGGCCUCGGAGCCUGCAGAGAGGAGGAGAGGCAGUGCUGGCCGUGCACCUGCACACGCCUGCUGCCUGCCCUGCCCGUCCUUAGCCUCUCCUUGGGAAUAGAAAAUGAGGCAGAGAAGACCAAGAAAAUGGAAAAGGGCCUUGACCCGGGCACCGGGAAGUCAAGGGGCCCUGCCCUCCUCCUGCGGAUUCUCAGGUGUGGAGAUGCUGGUAGGGCUCAGGGAGCUGGGGAGGGGUCUGCACAGCCCCUGUGGGCCACGCACCUGCCCUGAGGGAGGCUUGGAAUGCCUCUCACCUGGAGCUGCCUCUCACCUGUGCUGCCUCCCACCUGUGCUGCCUCUCACCUGUGCUGCCUCUCAUCCAGAGCUGCCUCCCACCUGUGCUGCCUCUCACCUGGAGCUGCCUCUCACAUAGCACUGCCUCUCUCACCUGUGCUGCCUCCCACCCGUGCUGCCUCUCAUCCAGAGCUGCCUCCCAUCCCGAGCUGCCUCUCACCCUGGACUGCCCCUCACUUGGAGCUGCCCCUCUCCGGCACUGCCUCUCACCUGGGCAGGACAGGACAUGGCAGACACCUGGACGGAACUGGCGCCCUCCAGUUUGCUACGGAAACUUCUGCCCAGCGCUCUCCCCACUGCGGCAGCCUGCUCUUAUUGCCCUCAUCCUGACUCUGGGAGAACAGGGACGUGGACACGGCCCCUGCAGGACUUAGCACUCUCACCUGGGAGCCUCCCUCCCUGAGUGGGGAGGUGAGCCGAGGUGAGAGUAGGCAGGGGCUUUGAGAAGAAGUCACAGGAGCCAGGAGUCCCCAGCAAGGGGAGCGCUGUGCCUGUGCGCACAGCCAGUCGGGCCGCCUGCCUGCUGUGAGAUCUCGGCAGCAUCCUGAAGGGCUCUGUGCCUUCGUUCUCUCUGCUUGAUGCACAGCUCCACAGAGCGGCCCGGGGACCUCAUCCUCUUCCUGUUGAUCGUCCUGCCUUCCGCAGCUUUCCACGGAGGCACUGUCCUGCCAACUUCCUCUUCCCCGUGGGUUUUCAUCCUCUUGAAGUAGUCACUCCUCCAGACCCUGGUCACCCAGCAAUAGUUGCAAGACUUCACGUACAUUCUGCAGAGCCGCCUCGCUGCACCUAAGCCACUUUUCUGCCUGGCCUGGGGGCCUGGCCACCAAGAUCUUCGUGCUCUCUCGGGCACUGCCUGGCCAACAGCCGGCCCUGCUCUGCUUGGAUCAGGGAGACCUUUGCACUCAUCCUUCCCCUUGUGACUCGCAAUGGACGUUUCACUGAGCUGCUGCACAAACAUCUGGAAUGUUCUCAGACUUUUCUCCCCUCUGAUCUGCCUCUCUCCAUCGGCCUGCCUGUUUUUCUCUGCAGACAAGGAAAUGUCCCACACUCCAGAGCUUCUAAAAAAAAAAAAAAAGGAAUUGGACUCCACGAGGGUGGUCAUCUGGAGACCACUGAGAGGGGAGGAAGCCCUUGGAUCUGGGGCUCGGCCACACAGCUGCCUCCCGGGGGCUCCCCGGUGUCCAAGACUCCCCGUGAGCCGUGGCUAGGAAGGCGCCCGAGCAGAGCUGUCAGAGCUGCCACUUCCAAGGUGCUGCCCCGGGCUCCUGGCCUGAGGUUUCCAUGGUGAUGGUAACUAAGCAGGCGCCCCUGCGGCCUGUCUCCUCUCAACCCGUUCCGUGCUAGAUGUCCAAAUGCGACAGACAGAUCCCAGGGCAAGUGGGGCCUGAAGGUGAGGGCUCCGGACUCUUAGAGAGGAGGCACAGGAGUCACACAGGGCCCGGGCCUCUGGGGCCUUGCCGUCAGGGGUCCACCCCUGGGAGCUGGCUCAGUGCCUGGGGAAAGGGGUGCAAGUCCACACUGGGGAACAGGAGUGCAGUGUGAUCUGGAGAAUGCUGGUGUUCAUGUGGCCCCCGGGGGCGGGGCGGGGUGGGGUAGGGUGCUGGAAGCUUCUCUGUGAACAAGGCAGACACCCAGAUGACUGCGGGCUCUCCCCAGCACUGGGGGUGUUUGAGCAGAGGCCCAGCCCUGCUGCAGGAAUGGUGCCCAAGGUACCUAAGCACCAGGACGGGUUAGGAUAAGGUGGGCUUUGUGAUUUGUUAAAAAACACCACUGUGCGUUCACACAGGGCUCAGAGCGAGGGAUUUCUCUUUAUUGUCUUCCUGUCUGUCCGCAGACAAAAGGGAUGUGCUUUGUGGUUUUCAUAAUCUGUUGCUCUCUUGGUCUCUCAUUGUUGACCCCUGAUACUUCUCACCCAGUCAUUCGUAAUGUACUUCUGCUUCCUGCUUUUAGAAGUGACUGCUUCACGAAGUUUUUGUUAACAGCUAAUUGAAAAGAUUUGCUCAUAGUUUUCAUAGGCCUUGUUUUAGAAUGGUUUUCUUUUUAAAUGAGUGGAUUUUAGCCACUUGAUUUUAUUUUUCCUUUUCCUGUGUUCUUUCUAGGUGCAUCUUUGAUUGGGUCAGGGGCUCAGCUUUCCUCGGUGACUGAUCAUUUGAGGGAGUUUAGUUUACCUGUAUUAAGUUUUUGCGGGAGAUGCGUGCCAAGCCCUUAAUAUACUUUAUUGUAUGUCGAGAAUUUGGGUGUGGCUUUUUUUACCCAUCUGAAAAAAAAUGAGAUGUACAGUAUACAUGAGGUAUUCUGCAUAUAUACAUUAGCUAUAAUGAAUCCUAGUAAAACAAAGAGCAAUAUGUCCACAAGCACUGACUGUCCUUGAGGGCUUCUGUGUGUGUAUGUGUGUGCAUCCCCAAACAUUCCCCCCCGGCUUAGGAUAACCGUUACCUGAACCUUGUGCUACUGGACACCUGCUUUCCUUCAUAGCUUUACCACAUUUCGUGGUGCACGUCCACCAUCCAGUAAUCUUGCCUGUCCUUGAGCCACUGCGUCCUAGGAUCUGUAGCUGUCACUCAGCAGUGCUGCAUAGGAAGCCAUCUUAGGAGAAGGUGCCAUAGUCUGCUGUGGUCUCCUUCGGUACUGUACUGCAAGGGCCGCUCCUAGCAAACACUUGAGCGGUUCCUAGAUUUUGCUAAGGACAACAGUGCUGUUUUGAAGAAUCGUGCAAAUGUGUCCUCGGGAAAGAACUGCUGGAGAUGGUGUAACUCGCAUAGUUACAAUUUUGAAGUCAAGUAGAUGAUCUGUGUCGGCUUUAAAUAUUCUAAGAAAAAUAAAAUAUUCUGAAUACUUUUUAAAA
Non-coding RNA from Oryctolagus cuniculus (rabbit), 4463 nucleotides. NCBI's taxonomy places the organism in Eukaryota, Metazoa, Chordata, Mammalia, Lagomorpha, Leporidae. The record is from RefSeq and is a predicted model, not a curated record.